Molecule: long non-coding RNA, 1082 nt
Organism: Ochotona curzoniae (black-lipped pika)
Lineage: Eukaryota; Metazoa; Chordata; Mammalia; Lagomorpha; Ochotonidae
Exons: 2
Source: RefSeq, a predicted model, not a curated record
GGAUACGAAUCCACAUGGGAUCCUGGUGCAUACAAGUUCUCCACGCUGAAAUCCAAGUCCCUAAUGCCCUGACAGGCACCAAGUAAGACGGAGAAGACAGCUCUGGGAAUGACACACAGACUUUACGGGACCGGAAGCAUCACCUCCACUUCCUUCCUCUUGCCCCAGACUAGGUCAAGUCCAGGACGCUCUUAAGGUCAAAGGCAAGUGGUUCCUCAAGGAUUGCAGGAAAUGUAAAUGUGGAGAGGACAGACUAAUAGAAUGCUUGACCCAAGUCGCAGUUAAACACAGCUGAGGGUGAAAGACAGAGGUCAGGGCGGGGAGAUCCGGGGUUGGAAGGGGCCCAAGCAGCUGCCGACAGCGGACCCUGGUGUAGAAUGGGCCGAGGGGGUUGGUCGCAGCUCACGGAGAAGGCACUGCCAAGCUUGUCAUCUUGAUUGCAUUAAACAACGGUGUCCUCCAGCGCCUUCCUUUCCGGAUUGCAUGCUUGGCAGACAGUUUCCUGAUUAUAAUGUGGCUUGGCAUCUAGAGCAGUACGUGAGUUUUAUGGGUUUGGUGUCACAAACUUGCCUGGAGAGGUGGAGUUCCUCUUGGAUGAAUGACCCAAAACUGAGCCUACAAAGCCAGGGGCUGCACACUGGACCGUGAUCACAACUUGUGAACCCCUUGCCUUCGCCUGACUCCAUCCCUCUGCAUCUCCACCUGGUUUGGAGUUAACCAGAGGCAAGUUUCUUAACGUCUUUAUGUCUCAGUUUACUCAUCUGUAAAUUGAGACUAAAGUUAAUUCAUUGUAGGAGUCAAUGAAUUAAUAGGUUAUCUACUGUCAAUAUUCAAAUCUCCACAAGCCUGGCUUUGAUCUUGAACAAGUAACUUUAUUUUUGUUCUCUGAUUUCCUUUUCUGUAAUGUGGAGUUAAUGACAACUGUUGUAAAAAAAGAAAGUGUGAUACAUGUAGGGUGUCAGAGUUGUUAAAAUUUCUCUAAGUUGCAAAAUUUUGCACAGUGUAUUUUUAUCAUUUGUUGUAAACAGUUUUUGCUGUCACUGGGUCCAUCGUGAUCACAGUGCAGAGAUUCUAAUAUCGCU